ACUACGGGCGGCAGCAGUGAGGAAUAUUGGUCAAUGGGCGGAAGCCUGAACCAGCCAAGUAGCGUGCAGGAUGACGGCCCUACGGGUUGUAAACUGCUUUUAUACGGGAAUAACGCGCCUUACGUGUAGGGCUUUGCAUGUACCGUAUGAAUAAGGACCGGCUAAUUCCGGGCCAGCAGCCGCGGUAAUACGGAAGGUCCGGGCGUUAUCCGGAUUUAUUGGGUUUAAAGGGAGCGUAGGCCGCAUGUCAAGCGUGCUGUGAAAUGUCCGGGCUUAACCCGGGCCUUGCAGCGCGAACUGGCGUGCUUGAGUCCGCGGAAAGCAGGCGGAAUUCGUCGUGUAGCGGUGAAAUGCUUAGAUAUGACGAAGAACCCCGAUUGCGAAGGCAGCUUGCUGCAGCGGAACUGACGCUGAUGCUCGAAAGCGCGGGUAUCGAACAGGAUGAGAUACCCCAGUAGUC
Molecule: ribosomal RNA, 460 nt
Filed under: uncultured bacterium
Lineage: Bacteria
Description: partial 16S ribosomal RNA
Rfam family: Bacterial small subunit ribosomal RNA
Source: RNAcentral